UUAUUCAGAUCAAAGCAGCAACAUGAGGAUUAUUCAGAUUCAGCUCUAUGUGUUAAUGUUUUGUCAAGCUGCAGUGACUUUAGAUCAACUAACAGAUUUGGGACAAAAUGUGACUAUAAAAUGUGAUCUGGACUCAAAUGAGGUUUAUUGGAUUUUACUGAAACAAUCAGAUUCUCAUACAGUGAUACUGCACUCAUUCUCAAGGCCAACUUCUGCUUUUUACUUUAAUAAAACAUUUAAAAACAAAUAUUCAACACAAUCUAAGCAUGGUCUGGUGAUAUAUAAUAUUACUGUAGAUGAGUUAGGAGUUUAUUACUGUAUGAACACAGAUACACCUCCAAAACUCAGUAACAGCACAAGACUGCACAUCAUUGGUAAGUACAUUUUCAGUUGUAAAUAUAUUAAUGUAGUAGACUAACAAUAACAGUGACUGCUGUAACAAACUUUACAAACUUUAUUUCACACAACCUCCAACAAUACAAAAAUCACAGAGCAAAACUCAUCACAAUGGACGACUUUCAUCCUCAUUUCUGGUCUGCUGAAUGUCUUUCUGAUCACUACAGGUCUGGUGGUAGCUGUUUGUGCUGUUAAUAAUGGAUGUUGGAUCAGAUCUGGAAACAGUUCAGGACAACUUUAUAAAACUGAUUUUAUAAAACAGCUGACACAAGAGCAGCAUCAAGACCCAAACCAACAACAGUAUAUGACGGUGGUUUUCCAAGCAGUGUAAAAACUCAGCCAAACCACGACAGCAAAUAUGCCAAAAAUUUUAUAUUUAUAUAUACUUACAACUAAUAACAAGUUUUAUAACCUAACUUAGCUAGAAAACAUCUUGGAAACCUAACAAUUUGAUUUCACUCUGCAACUAAUCACACACUGAACUCACAAUACA
This is a non-coding RNA of Misgurnus anguillicaudatus (oriental weatherfish), 889 nucleotides long. The record is from RefSeq and is a predicted model, not a curated record. Lineage: Eukaryota; Metazoa; Chordata; Actinopteri; Cypriniformes; Cobitidae.